Molecule: transfer RNA, 74 nt
Filed under: Saprospiraceae bacterium
Lineage: Bacteria; Pseudomonadati; Bacteroidota; Saprospiria; Saprospirales; Saprospiraceae
Description: tRNA-Leu
Rfam family: tRNA
About the family: Transfer RNA (tRNA) molecules are approximately 80 nucleotides in length. Their secondary structure includes four short double-helical elements and three loops (D, anti-codon, and T loops).
Source: RNAcentral
GCCCAUUUAGCCCAACUGGCAGAGGCGAUAGUUUUAGGAACUAUAUGUUUUCGGUUCGAAUCCGAAAGUGGGUA